GAAGGGGGCUAGCGUUGCUCGGAAUCACUGGGCGUAAAGGGUGCGUAGGCGGGUCUUUAAGUCAGGGGUGAAAUCCUGGAGCUCAACUCCAGAACUGCCUUUGAUACUGAGGAUCUUGAGUUCGGGAGAGGUGAGUGGAACUGCGAGUGUAGAGGCGAAAUUCGUAGAUAUUCGCAAGAACACCAGUGGCGAAGGCGGCUCACUGGCCCGAUACUGACGCUGAGGCACGAAAGCGUGGGGGGGAGCAAACAGGAUUAGAUACCCUGGUAGUCCACGCCGUAAACGAUGAAUGCCCAGCCGUUAGUGGGUUUACUCACUAGUGGCGCAGCUAACGCUUUAAGCAUUCCGCCUGGGAGUACGGUCGCAAGAUUA
RNAcentral lists this ribosomal RNA (372 nucleotides) under uncultured organism. RNAcentral's name for it is "partial 16S ribosomal RNA". It matches the Rfam family "Bacterial small subunit ribosomal RNA", at positions 527 to 896 of the family's 1533-position model. The record is from RNAcentral.